AAUAAAUAGAAUUUUUGAACAUUCAGUUUAGAUAAUAAAUCAACGGUUUUUUUGAGAAUCAUUUAAAAUGGCGGCAUAAUUUACUUUGGGGAAAUUUAUUGAUGGCGAUUGUGUUGAUGAUUAUAAAAAUAAUAAUAUAAAAAAAUAUUAAUAUAAUAAUAAUAAUAAUAAUGAUAUAUAUUCAAUGAUAAAAUGAUAAGAUGAUUCUAAGAUUUUAGUGGGAACUAAAAAUUUAAACAUGAGCAGUGUCAUUAACAUUUCAAAUAAAAAAAUAUACAAUAAAAUCAUGGGCUUCUGAAACUUGAAUGCAGGUUAAUACUUAAAAUAAAGAACAUUUACUGUUUUACAGUUUGCAAGAUUUCGAAACUGCAUGCGCCAAAGAUAAUUACUAUGCAAGAAGAGGCAAGACCCUUGACCCAGAAACCUUGUUAAAUGAAACAGGAAAUGCCGACAUGGUCGUCUGUAAGAUUGCCAGCAAGUCAAAUAAAGUCGCUCCUCAAUGGCUGUCAUCUCUGAUUGGUGAUGUUGUUGAUAAUGAAAGUGCAACAGUGAUUAGAGACCACAUCAGACGACAAACUUGUUGAUGAAUACGUGACAUGGAUCAUAGACAAGGCAGCUGACACUCUGAGACAGGAGUUGCCUAGCAACACUACGACCUUAACAGUGAGGCCAGCAGACGACAACAUAUCAUUGUCCUCCAGUAUCAUCAGCCAAAUUGCUGAUAUGGCUGUAACAGAGAGCUUGUCAAAUAUUGUGAUAGAUGUCGACACCAACCACUCUGCUAUAAGAGCUCCUAGAACUAUCAAAGAAUUCAAGG
Ruditapes philippinarum (Manila clam) is the source of this 817-nucleotide long non-coding RNA. RefSeq lists it as uncharacterized. The record is from RefSeq and is a predicted model, not a curated record. The transcript is spliced from 4 exons. Lineage: Eukaryota; Metazoa; Mollusca; Bivalvia; Venerida; Veneridae.